ACCGAGAAGUCAUCAGACAUGUGAUGGUGAUUGGUGACAGUGCGGUGUGAAGUUAAAGCAAAUCGUAGCAAAUCCACGGGACCUUCCGCUGUUCAUCACCCACCACCGGCAGGCACAGAUAUCUUCGAUAAAUACAUGGGAACCUCGCGGGAACUCAAAAACAAGUGACAACUCGAUUAUGUCUCGAGGAUUCGCUGAUUCGCUGCAGAUUCGGAUUCCUGGGGUCCAAUUACAUGGAAAUACCUUAGAACCCCCAAUUUAAACGAAUGUCGAUGUUUGACCUCAAAGUCUGAAAUUUUCCGCUCCGAAAAGCAAAUCUGUUCAUCUGCAAGCAAUUAAAGACAGACUUUUACUGAGUUCCAUUGAAUAUAUUGAAGCAGGAUAAAGGAAUUAUGCCAUUGAUAGGAACUUAGCGUUUAUUUCCCACUAUAAAAAAUCUUCAAAACUCUUCGAUCAUAUGUGAUAAUAAAAAUUUUCUUUAUUUACAAAUGCGACAAGUGUACAGGAAUUAAGGUCUAGUGAUUUUUUGGAACGGAGCGUUAAGUUACGAAUUACCAUCACUUUUCAUAUCAAAGAUUUCUCGAGAGGUGUAAUUAAAUGAUUGUACACAUCAAAUAUAACCAACUAUUUAAUCACGAGAGAGAAAGAGACAAAUAUGUACCAACAAAUA
Athalia rosae (coleseed sawfly) is the source of this 670-nucleotide long non-coding RNA. RefSeq lists it as uncharacterized. The record is from RefSeq and is a predicted model, not a curated record. NCBI's taxonomy places the organism in Eukaryota, Metazoa, Arthropoda, Insecta, Hymenoptera, Athaliidae. The transcript is spliced from 3 exons.